AGAGCGAACGCUGGCGGCAUGCUUAACACAUGCAAGUCGCACGGGCAGGGGUAACUCUGUCAGUGGCGGACGGGUGAGUAACGCGUAGGUAUCUAUCCUCGGGUGGGGGACAACCACGGGAAACUGUGGCUAAUACCGCAUGAUGACUGAGGUCCAAAGGCGCAAGUCGCCUGGGGAGGAGCCUGCGUCCGAUUAGCUUGUUGGUGGGGUAAAGGCCUACCAAGGCUCCGAUCGGUAGCUGGUCUGAGAGGAUGAUCAGCCACACUGGGACUGAGGCACGGCCCAGACUCCUACGGGAGGCAGCAGUGGGGAAUAUUGGACAAUGGGCGAAAGCCUGAUCCAGCAAUGCCGCGUGGGUGAAGAAGGUCUUCGGAUUGUAAAGCCCUUUCGACGGGGACGAUGAUGACGGUACCCGUAGAAGAAGCCCCGGCUAACUUCGUGCCAGCAGCCGC
Molecule: ribosomal RNA, 452 nt
Filed under: uncultured bacterium
Lineage: Bacteria
Description: SSU rRNA
Rfam family: Bacterial small subunit ribosomal RNA
Source: RNAcentral